RNAcentral lists this long non-coding RNA (402 nucleotides) under Mytilus galloprovincialis (Mediterranean mussel). The record is from RNAcentral. Lineage: Eukaryota; Metazoa; Mollusca; Bivalvia; Mytilida; Mytilidae.
GUGUUGUAAAAUUUUGAACUAUCUGUAAACAGGAAGUGGCUGCAUGGCAGAUCUUAAAAUUGCUUACAUUCUACAAUUCAGCAUUAGGCCAAAUAAAAAAGUAUGUGUGGUUCCAGUUACAUCUGAAAAAAAGUUAGGGUAGGUAGGUAGGGAUUUUUUUUUAUUUUAUGUUUUUUUUUUUUACAUUGAGUCUAUGGGAGCAACAUUUUGACUUUAACAGUGCUUAAUGAAAAAUGACAAUAAAAUCUUUAGGGUAGGCUAUUUUUAAGCCGAAAAAGUAGGGACGGUAGGGUUACUGGAACCACACGUAUAUUUUUAUUUGGCCUUAUCAAGCUGCAGACAUACCAAACAUAUAAUUACUUCAUUGCAGAGAAGUCAGGUUGGACUAAUUUUCUACCUUAG